GCGAAUGUGGUGAAGUGGUUAACACAGCGGGUUGUGGUCCCGUCAUGCGCGGGUUCGAAUCCCGUCAUUCGCCCCA
RNAcentral lists this transfer RNA (76 nucleotides) under Mycoplasmopsis columbina. Its description in RNAcentral is "Mycoplasma columbinum tRNA-His(gtg)". It matches the Rfam family "tRNA". From Rfam's summary of the family: Transfer RNA (tRNA) molecules are approximately 80 nucleotides in length. RNAcentral also lists the same sequence under 1 other name. The record is from RNAcentral. Lineage: Bacteria; Bacillati; Mycoplasmatota; Mycoplasmoidales; Metamycoplasmataceae.